Molecule: ribosomal RNA, 637 nt
Filed under: uncultured bacterium
Lineage: Bacteria
Description: bacterial SSU rRNA
Rfam family: Bacterial small subunit ribosomal RNA
Source: RNAcentral
UGGGGAGUACGAUCGCAAGGUUGAAACUCAAAGGAAUUGACGGGGGCCCGCACAAGCAGUGGAGCAUGUGGUUUAAUUCGAUGCAACGCGAAGAACCUUACCUGGGUUUGAAAGGCUCUGUAAACCGGUGAAAGCCGGCUAGUGUAGCAAUACACACGGAGUACAGGUGCUGCAUGGCUGUCGUCAGCUCGUGCCGUGAGGUGUUAGGUUAAGUCCUGCAACGAGCGCAACCCCUGCACUUAGUUGCCAUCAGGUUAUGCUGGGCACUCUAAGUGGACUGCCUACGCAAGUAGUGAGGAAGGUGGGGAUGACGUCAAGUCCUCAUGGCCCUUACACCCAGGGCCACACACGUGCUACAAUGGCCACUACAAUGGGCUGCAAAAUCGCAAGGUUGAGCCAAUCCCAUAAAAGUGGUCUCAGUUCGGAUUGAGGGCUGCAACUCGCCCUCAUGAAGCUGGAAUUGCUAGUAAUCGCGGAUCAGCACGCCGCGGUGAAUACGUUCCCGGGCCUUGUACACACCGCCCGUCAAGCCAUGGAAGCUGGGGGUACCCGAAGCCGUUCACCCAGCCGCAAGGAGGGAAACGUCUAAGGUAAAAUCAGUGACUGGGGCUAAGUCGUAACAAGGUAGCCGAAUCGA